CUCGUAGGCGGCCAACUAAGUCAGACGUGAAAUCCCUCAGCUUAACUGGGGAACUGCGUCUGAUACUGGAUGGCUUGGAUUCGGGAGAGGAAUGCGGAGUUCCAGGUGUAGCGGUGAAAUGCGUAGAUAUCUGGAGGAACACCGGUGGCGAAGGCGGCAUUCUGGACCGAUAUUGACGCUGAGGAGCGAAAGCCAGGGGAGCAAACG
Molecule: ribosomal RNA, 207 nt
Filed under: uncultured bacterium
Lineage: Bacteria
Description: partial 16S ribosomal RNA
Rfam family: Bacterial small subunit ribosomal RNA
Source: RNAcentral